Molecule: long non-coding RNA, 857 nt
Filed under: Homo sapiens (human)
Lineage: Eukaryota; Metazoa; Chordata; Mammalia; Primates; Hominidae
Description: non-protein coding RNASEH1-AS1:24
Source: RNAcentral
GAAGCCCUGGGCCCGGCAGAGGAAGGUCGAGAUGGACCAUGUUGGGCCCCUUCUCUCCCCGCCCCCAGGCCGCAGUUCGGGGGCCACGCCCCGGCGUGCUCGGGUCACCGCGGGAAGCCCUUGAACCCCCUGGCGCCCGGCACCCACGUGCGGUAACCGCGGCUCCUCGAGAGCUCCAGGGAUGCGGAUCUACAGUAAGGGCUGUGGCCAGAUGAAUGAAUGCACAUUUUUUAGUGGGCAGAAAGAUGUUAGAAUUCAUGAAUUAGAAUAAGCACAAAGGAGGGCGAGAGGGGAGGCCGUGGAAGCCGCAUUCCUCCCCUUGCCUUGGGCGCCCACCCCCGAAGGGGCGCGUCCCCUCCCUGCUCCACUGCACGUGGGUGUUUAACCAGGGGAUAUCCAGUGCCUCAAGCACCACGACCCGGGAGAAAACUGAGUUGAGAAGGGUCCAUUCAAGAAUUGUGCCCACAAUAUACCAGGCACUUGUCCAGACCUGCAUCGUCCAAUGCCCACCUCGACCUCCCAAAGUGUUGGGAUUAGAGGCGUGAGCCACCGCGCCCUGCCUGCAUGUGGCUAUUGAGAUGUGCUGUAUGAUACACACCGGACUUUGAAGACUCAGUGUGAAAAAUAAAAAGAAUUUUAAGAGGGGUGGGGGUCGAGGGGAGGCAGAGCAGUAGGACAAAUAGCUAAUGCACGCAGGGCUUAAAACCUAGACAACAGGUUGAUGGGUGCAGCAAACCACCAUGACACAUGUUUAUCUAUAUAGCACCUACAUGUUCUGCACUUGUAUCCUGGAACUUAAAAUUAGAAAAAAAAAAUAAUAAAAGCCAACAUGGCAUUCAUUACUGCCAAAAAAAUUA